UAAGUAAGCUUUGAUCCAGAGAUUUCCGAAUGGGGAAACCCAGCAUGAGUUAUGUCAUGUUAUCGAUAUGUGAAUACAUAGCAUAUCAGAAGGCACACCCGGAGAACUGAAACAUCUUAGUACCCGGAGGAAGAGAAAGAAAAUUCGAUUCCCUUAGUAGCGGCGAGCGAAACGGGAAGAGCCCAAACCAACAAGCUUGCUUGUUGGGGUUGUAGGACACUCUAUACGGAGUUACAAAGGACGACAUUAGACGAAUCAUCUGGAAAGAUGAAUCAAAGAAGGUAAUAAUCCUGUAGUCGAAAAUGUUGUCUCUCUUGAGUGGAUCCUGAGUACGACGGAGCACGUGAAAUUCCGUCGGAAUCUGGGAGGACCAUCUCCUAAGGCUAAAUACUCUCUAGUGACCGAUAGUGAACCAGUACCGUGAGGGAAAGGUGAAAAGCACCCCGGAAGGGGAGUGAAAUAGAACCUGAAACCGUGUGCUUACAAGUAGUCAGAGCCCGUUAAUGGGUGAUGGCGUGCCUUUUGUAGAAUGAACCGGCGAGUUACGAUUUGAUGCAAGGUUAAGCAGUAAAUGUGGAGCCGUAGCGAAAGCGAGUCUGAAUAGGGCGUUUAGUAUUUGGUCGUAGACCCGAAACCAGGUGAUCUACCCUUGGUCAGGUUGAAGUUCAGGUAACACUGAAUGGAGGACCGAACCGACUUACGUUGAAAAGUGAGCGGAUGAACUGAGGGUAGCGGAGAAAUUCCAAUCGAACCUGGAGAUAGCUGGUUCUCUCCGAAAUAGCUUUAGGGCUAGCCUCAAGUGAUGAUUAUUGGAGGUAGAGCACUGUUUGGACGAGGGGCCCCUCUCGGGUUACCGAAUUCAGACAAACUCCGAAUGCCAAUUAAUUUAACUUGGGAGUCAGAACAUGGGUGAUAAGGUCCAUGUUCGAAAGGGAAACAGCCCAGACCACCAGCUAAGGUCCCAAAAUAUAUGUUAAGUGGAAAAGGAUGUGGCGUUGCCCAGACAACUAGGAUGUUGGCUUAGAAGCAGCCAUCAUUUAAAGAGUGCGUAAUAGCUCACUAGUCGAGUGACACUGCGCCGAAAAUGUACCGGGGCUAAACAUAUUACCGAAGCUGUGGAUUGUCCUUUGGACAAUGGUAGGAGAGCGUUCUAAGGGCGUUGAAGCAUGAUCGUAAGGACAUGUGGAGCGCUUAGAAGUGAGAAUGCCGGUGUGAGUAGCGAAAGA
RNAcentral lists this ribosomal RNA (1226 nucleotides) under Staphylococcus aureus. RNAcentral's name for it is "partial 23S ribosomal RNA". It matches the Rfam family "Bacterial large subunit ribosomal RNA", at positions 89 to 1316 of the family's 2925-position model. The record is from RNAcentral. Lineage: Bacteria; Bacillati; Bacillota; Bacilli; Caryophanales; Staphylococcaceae.